GUGCCCUCGUCCUGUGUAUGGGUUCAUUCCUUCUUUCUGCUUUGGUUUUCCAGAAGUUGAUCCCUUUGAACUGCUGAAACCUGAUGCCUUGCAAUCAAUAGUCUGUAAAACAGUAAGAUCAGCAGUGUGAAGAUUCAGAUUUUCUGCCUCUAAAUGCAGACUGCUGUGCUGGGCCACUGAGCUUGUCCAGUGAAUGAUUGCUAAAGUGAUUACAGGAGUGUUGUGGCAAGUUGUCCAAGUUCACAAGAUAAACCCCGAGCGAACUGGCCACAGCAGCUGGGUGACCUGUCUCUGUGCCUGGCUGAUGAAAACUUUCUGGAUUAGUUAGCUGUGUUCCAGCCAGCCUCUUGAGGUGCAAGGGAAUGUCAUAGCACUGGACCUGUUGUGCUGCCCAGACUCAGAGCAACACUGCAGAAGCCAUUGGUCUGCUCCUGGAGGCAAGCUGCAAAACCACGGAAAAAAUGCUUUCUCGGGAUAAAAAUCAAGAACAGAGUUAAAACUGAUGUGGAUGGAGAUGUUGUCACAGCCUGAUGCAGCGGGUUUCCCAGGAUCCUACCCCUUAAACGUGGUGAGACGAAAGACUUUCUGGUCCUCUGUGUGGAGUAUCUUAAUUAACUGCGUAAUUGGAAGAACAGAAUUGGGUCCUAAGUGAGAUGCCUACAGCUCUGUCACAUGCAUCCAGGUCUGCUUCCAUGCUGUCUCCUUCCAAUAAAUACAUGUCAUCAUUCUGCAGACUGGUACCAAUGAGAGGAAAUGUGAAAGGCUCUGUACCACAGGCACCUCCCCACCUCCGCAGCUCUGGGUCCUGGGGAUUUAAGAAGAGAAAACAGACUC
Molecule: long non-coding RNA, 834 nt
Organism: Apus apus (common swift)
Lineage: Eukaryota; Metazoa; Chordata; Aves; Apodiformes; Apodidae
Exons: 6
Source: RefSeq, a predicted model, not a curated record